GGAGGUUGUUUUCAUGUAAUCAUAUUGUCCCUCAAAGGAUGUUCUCUCCAAUGAAGCAGGGUGCGUACCCAGACCUCUGAGACUUGCCCUUCCGAAUGGGUUUCUGUUUCACCAGAUACAACCAAGCAGUUCUCUAUGAACACAUUUUUUCCCCAUGGAAAAAUUCAAGCUAAAUUUAGUAAUAAAAACAUUCUCAGUAAAUUAACAUCUACAUCGAACUGUUAUCCAGAAUUUCAAAAAAAAAAAAAAAAAAAAGCAUGACUAUUAUGCUUUUAUCAUUUACAUUAUGAUAACACCAUGAACGAGACUGCAUUCAUGGAUUCCUGAGAACAAUCUGAUUGUGCGUAGAAGUAGAACAUUCAGCACAUGCUUUCUUUAAAAAUAAAAAUGAUCAACGUGGUAAUAAUAUAUAUGCUGUUGAAUAUUUGUUGCAACAACUGAUGUUUCAUAUUUGUUACCUCACACUGUCUUCUGCAUCUGUUGCUUGGUGAGACAACCGAUGCCUUGCUGGUGGUUGUCUUGGAGGGGCAGCAUUAGCAGGCGAGGAACCUUUUGCUGCCCGGACUGUUAUUGGCUUCCCUUUGCAUAUGACGUGCACCGCACAAAACUCUGGCACAGCUUUAGUCAAGUUUGAUGGGACAUCAGGGUUCCUGAAUCUCCUGCAGGGAGGAAGAACAACUGCUUCUUGUAAGGGUUUCAAAUUCCAAGAGCUUUGACGCACGAGGGAAGUGAUGGAGGCAGGAAGUCAUAGAGACCUCAUGAGGGCAUUCCUGUUUGAGGCACCAACAACAAUAUUCUGGAUGUGGU
This 807-nucleotide long non-coding RNA is filed under the name Elaeis guineensis (African oil palm). RNAcentral's name for it is "long non-coding RNA (EGUI_LNC006387)". Lineage: Eukaryota; Viridiplantae; Streptophyta; Magnoliopsida; Arecales; Arecaceae. The record is from RNAcentral.